GUUUUGCUUUACGAUUGUCCCCUGAGCUAGCCUCUGUUGCCCUGCUUCCUCAGUUUAAGAUGGCGGAUUUCUCAGUGUUGCUGUUUCGCCAGAUCUCGACGCCCUUGUGUCUUUUUUUUCUGCCUAAUGGUUGGCACCUGAGCUAGCAUCUGUUGCCCAUCUUCUUCAGUUUGAGAGGGUAGAUUUCUCGGUGUUGCUUUUUCGCCAGCUCUCCACGCCCUUGCGUCUUUUUUUUUUCUGCUUAAAGGUUGCAACCUGAGCUAGCUUCUUUUGCCCAUGUUCGUCAGUUUCAGAGGGUGGAUUUCUCCGUGUUGCUUUUUCCCCAGGUCUCCACGCCCUUGUGUGUUUCUUUUGCUUUACGAUUGCCACCUGAGGUAGCCUCUGUUGCCCAUCCUCAUCAGUUUCAGAAGGUAGAUUUCUCAGUGCUGCUUUUCCCCCAGGUCUCCACGCCCUUGUGUGUUUCUUUUGCUUCAACUUUGCCACCUGAAGCCAGCCUCUCUUGCCCAUCUUCCUCAGUUUCAGAGGGUAGAUAUUUCAGGGUUGCUUUUUCCCCAGGUCUCCACGCCUUUGUGUUUUGUUUUUGCUUAACUAUUGCCACCUGAGCUAGCCUCUCUUGCCCAUCUUCCUCAGUUUCAGAGGGCGGAUUUCUCCGUGUUGCUUUUUCCCCAGGUCUCCACGCCCUUGUGUGUUUCUUUUGCUUAACGAUUGCCACCUGAGGUAGCCUCUGUUGCCCAUCCUCGUCAGUUUCAGAGGGUAGAUUUCUCAGUGCUGCUUUUUCCCCAGGUCUCCACGCCCUUGUGUGUUUCUUUUGGCUUAAAGUUUGCCACGUGAGGUAGCCUCUGUUGCCCAUCCUCGUCACUUUCAGAGGGUGGAUUUCUCAGGGUUGCUUUUUCCCCAGGUCUCCAUGCCUUUGUGUUUUGUUUUUGCUUAACGAUUGCCACCUGAGGUAGCCUCUCUUGCCCAUCUUCCUCAGUUUCAGAGGGUGGAUUUCUCCGUGUUGCUUUUUCCCCAGGUCUCCACGCCCUUGUGUGUUUUUUUUGCUUAAAGAUUGCCACCUGAGCUAGCCUCUGUUGCCCAUCUUCGUCCGUUUCAGAGGGUGGAUUUCUCAGUGUUGCUUUUUCCCCAGCUCUCCACGCCCUUGUGUGUUUCUUUUGCUUAAAGAUUGCCACCUGAGCUAGCCACUGUUUCCCAUCUUCGUCCGUUUCAGAGGAUGGAUUUCUCAGUGUUGCCUUUUCGCCAGCUCCCCACGCCCUUGUGUGUUUCUUUUGCUUAAAGAUUGCCACCUGAGCUAGCCUCUGUUGCGCUUCUUUCUCAGUUUCAGAGGGUAGAUUUCUCCGUGUUGCUUUUUCCCCAGGUCUCCACUCACUUCCUUUUAUUUUUUCUUCAUAAUUGCCACCUGAGCUAGCCUCUGUUGCCCAUCUUCGUCGGUUUCAGAGGGUAGAUUUCUCAGCGUUGCUUUUUCCCCAGGUCUCUACGUGCUUGUGUGUGUGGUGUG
RNAcentral lists this long non-coding RNA (1495 nucleotides) under Equus asinus (donkey). RNAcentral describes it as "lncRNA (ENSEASG00005029307.1)". The record is from RNAcentral. Lineage: Eukaryota; Metazoa; Chordata; Mammalia; Perissodactyla; Equidae.